This 74-nucleotide transfer RNA is filed under the name Lachnospiraceae bacterium. RNAcentral's name for it is "tRNA-Gln". It matches the Rfam family "tRNA". Rfam says of the family: Transfer RNA (tRNA) molecules are approximately 80 nucleotides in length. Lineage: Bacteria; Bacillati; Bacillota; Clostridia; Lachnospirales; Lachnospiraceae. The record is from RNAcentral. RNAcentral also lists the same sequence under 1 other name.
UGCGGGUUCGUUCAAUGGUAGGACAUAUCACUUUGACUGAUAGAAUAGUAGUUCGACUCUACUACCCGUAACCA